This 896-nucleotide long non-coding RNA is filed under the name Panax ginseng (ginseng). RNAcentral's name for it is "long non-coding RNA (PGIN_LNC007685)". Lineage: Eukaryota; Viridiplantae; Streptophyta; Magnoliopsida; Apiales; Araliaceae. The record is from RNAcentral.
GAGAGAGAAAUUAUUUAUAGGUAAAUAUUUAAUAGUAUUAGUUGUACAACACAAGCAUGCAUAACAAAGUUCAGCUACUAGACUCUCUCGUAGCGGCACAAAACGUAAGAGCAGCCGACGAGGAGAGGCUGGUGCGACUUAAGUCUAUCAGUAAUUAAGAUACACACACACACACACAACACACACACACACACAUAUAUAUAUAUAUAUAUAUAUAUAUAUAUAUAUAUAUAUAUAUAUAUAUAGUACAUCCAACUGCCCAUUUCUUACUAGUAUAUGUAUAGCUAAUUUAUACUAGUAAUCUAUAAAUUACUAGUAUAUUAGUAGUACAGUACUAUACAUUCAUAAAUAGUGCUACUAUAUAUAUACGUUCACCAAUUAAGCCAUACGUAAUGGUUUUGUCAAAGGAUAAUCCUUAAUCAGUGCGCCUGCGCCACCACCAUAGAAAUUGGAAGGCUGGUAUGAGAACUCCAUAACCGUCUCCGUGGUGGCAGAAAGUAGUGGAGCCACCUGAAAAACCCGGGACUGCUGUGGUUGAUACUGAUACUUACAUAUUCGGUGUUCUUCUGAAAGAGUAGUAGUAGUACUAAUACUAUUCCUUCCCUUUCUUCCAAAGCCCUCAAACCCAAUCUUUUUAACAUGUCUCUCUGCCUUCUGUGCCAUAUCUAUACUCGUAGUAUUUUUUUUCAUAAAACUAUAUAAUAUAAGACUAAGCUAUUUAAUUAGUAAGUGUAGUAGUAAUCAGUAUCUUCUCUCUAAUUUGGUUUAUAAGCAAGCUAUAGAAUAACACCCUUUUUAUAUGGAAAGAUCGAUCAUUGAGAGGGAAUGACUUUUACAGGGGUAGUAUUGUCAAUUCACAGGAGUCGUCUGUCUGAACAAUCAAAUCGUACGCGGAU